This 519-nucleotide ribosomal RNA is filed under the name uncultured bacterium. RNAcentral's name for it is "bacterial SSU rRNA". It matches the Rfam family "Bacterial small subunit ribosomal RNA", at positions 8 to 524 of the family's 1533-position model. The record is from RNAcentral.
AGAGUUUGAUCCUGGCUCAGAUUGAACGCUGGCGGCAUGCCUUACACAUGCAAGUCGAACGGUAACGCGGGGCAACCUGGCGACGAGUGGCGAACGGGUGAGUAAUAUAUCGGAACGUGCCCAGUAGUGGGGGAUAGCCCGGCGAAAGCCGGAUUAAUACCGCAUACGACCUAUGGGUGAAAGCGGGGGAUCGCAAGACCUCGCGCUAUUGGAGCGGCCGAUAUCAGAUUAGCUUGUUGGUGGGGUAAAAGCCUACCAAGGCAACGAUCUGUAGCUGGUCUGAGAGGACGACCAGCCACACUGGGACUGAGACACGGCCCAGACUCCUACGGGAGGCAGCAGUGGGGAAUUUUGGACAAUGGGCGCAAGCCUGAUCCAGCCAUGCCGCGUGCGGGAAGAAGGCCUUCGGGUUGUAAACCGCUUUUGUCAGGGAAGAAACGGCCUUUUCUAAUACAGAGGGCUAAUGACGGUACCUGAAGAAUAAGCACCGGCUAACUACGUGCCAGCAGCCGCGGUAAU